AUCAGAUUUUAUUGAAUUCUUCUUUUGAGAUUUGGGUGAUAAGACUUUUAAUGAUAAUAACCUUGUUCCUUUUGCACUAUUUCUGUACAAAGGGCAUAAAAGCAAGACCUAUGAAUUGUGAGUGCCAAGUGUUGUCACAAGUCAAGCAUGGUAGAGCCAUUGGCUUAGACAAAGUGGGUGGUGUUUUACAAAGUCCAUUAAAGUUUCUUAUCCUCCUUUCUGGGGGCACUUGCGGUCGUUGUUCACUUUCAUGUCUGGCUGUUGAAACCAUGAACUGGACAAAUCGAGAGAUUUAUCUUCAUACGGGUACGUCUAGGUUUUUCUUAUGCUAUCAUUUGUUGGUUUAUAACUAUUUUUCAUUGAGAUGUUUGACAUAAAUGAGAACCAAAACUGAUAAGAUUUUCUCAGAGUAGAAAUGGGGGUAAAGCAAGGGACGGGAAGGAACACUUGCUUCUUUUGAUGUCUGAUUUUAUGAGGUCUAAUUCUUGCUUUUAUUCAAUUUACUCUUUGUACCUACUUUUUUUUAUUAUUUAAAAAUUAAGAUUCAAUUAAUACCUCCAUUAGAGACCUUCAUAUUAGGUGGCAUUUGUAAAAAAAUAAAGCCUUGUGGAAACCAUGUAAAUAAAUAAAGUUGCUGUCAUGAUUGGGCUAUGAAUUGUAAAAAAUAUAACUAGAAAAAUAAAAAAUAAGAAAUAUCGGUUUUCUCUUGCUUUUCUAAAAUGAAUUUAUUUUCUUAUGAGAUUUUUCCCCAAAAUUUCAUAUAAUUUAAUUCAACGCAAGUCUGUUAUCGGUAUUGUCUGUUGGACUUCAAAAUUUAAAUCAAAAGAGUAGAUGGAUUAAAUUUCAAACGUGUGAAGGGUAGAGGGACUAAGAGCAUAAUUAAACUGUUUUAUGGUCCGUGUAAUUACUGGCAUAUUGCAAAUAACUGAAGUAUGUGUGACUGAUUGUUGAACAACAUAAAGACAUGGAGAAAUAUUAUUUAUUGUUCCCCGCUAACCAGCCGCUUAUGAGAAAACUGUAACUAUAUGCGAGGUCUUCACUAUACCUUUUUAAGCAGCUUCAAGAAGAGCAAAGGCACAACAAUGGUUAUUAUUAAUUAUUAGCCACUCUUGAUUUUUGUGAUUUUAGGUAGGUUUGUUUGUAAUUAUAUAUGUGUGGCAUAUUUGGAUAAGUAAUUGGUGGAUUUCACUAAA
Molecule: long non-coding RNA, 1193 nt
Organism: Gossypium arboreum
Lineage: Eukaryota; Viridiplantae; Streptophyta; Magnoliopsida; Malvales; Malvaceae
Exons: 2
Source: RefSeq, a predicted model, not a curated record